CAGAGUUUGAAAACAAGGAUUCUCUUUUCCUGACAAGUCUCUAUUUGGAUAAGAGACCUUUCAAGUAUAAAUUUGGAUGGGCAAUUCGGUGCUUCCAACUUUGCAGAAACGGGGUGUGGCCAGGCUCUAAGCUUCAAGAGGACCUUCUAAAAGUUCCGGUUUUCUGAACAUUGUAUCCUGUGUGUAAGAGACCUCUCUUCAGUCAAGUCUGGACCCAGUCAGACGCCAGUCUUAAGGAUAAUUGAUGAGAGAUCAUGCCAGUCCAUAUUGAAAUAGUGACUACAUGCAAGACUUCAAGCAGUACUACAUUUCAAGUUUGGAACAUACACAGUCCUGUGUCUUCCGUCAAGUGUGGGCUCAAUACUAUUGUUCAACCAGAGCAAGCAGCCCUGAUGGAUGUACAG
Long non-coding RNA from Danio aesculapii, 404 nucleotides. RefSeq lists it as uncharacterized. The record is from RefSeq and is a predicted model, not a curated record. The transcript is spliced from 4 exons. NCBI's taxonomy places the organism in Eukaryota, Metazoa, Chordata, Actinopteri, Cypriniformes, Danionidae.